Molecule: ribosomal RNA, 496 nt
Filed under: uncultured bacterium
Lineage: Bacteria
Description: partial 16S ribosomal RNA
Rfam family: Bacterial small subunit ribosomal RNA
Source: RNAcentral
GAUGAACGCUGGCGGCGUGCCUAAUACAUGCAAGUCGAGCGAACAGACGAGGAGCUUGCUCCUCUGACGUUAGCGGCGGACGGGUGAGUAACACGUGGAUAACCUACUUAUAAGACUGGGAUAACUUCGGGAAACCGGAGCUACUACCGGAUAAUAUAUUCAACCGCAUGGUUCAAUAGUGAAAGACGGUUUUGCUGUCUCUUAUAGAUGAAUCCGCGCCGCAUUAGCUAGUUGGUAAGGUAACGGCUUACCAAGGCAACGAUGCGUGGCCGACCUGAGGGGGUGAUCGGCACACUGGAACUGAGACACGGUCCAGACUCCUACGGGAGGCAGCAGUAGGGAAUCUUCCGCAAUGGGCGAAAGCCUGACGCAGCAACGCCGCGUGAGUGAUGAAGGUCUUCGGAUCGUAAAGCUCUGUUAUUGGGAAAGAACAAAUGUGUAUGUAACUAUGCACGUCUUGACGGUACCUAAUCAAAAAGCAACGGCUAACUACGUG